GACGAACGCUGGCGGCGUGCUUAACACAUGCAAGUCGAACGGAAAGGCCCUGCUUUUGUGGGGUGCUCGAGUGGCGAACGGGUGAGUAACACGUGAGUAACCUGCCCUUGACUUUGGGAUAACUUCAGGAAACUGGGGCUAAUACCGGAUAGGAGCUCCUGCUGCAUGGUGGGGGUUGGAAAGUUUCGGCGGUUGGGGAUGGACUCGCGGCUUAUCAGCUUGUUGGUGGGGUAGUGGCUUACCAAGGCUUUGACGGGUAGCCGGCCUGAGAGGGUGACCGGCCACAUUGGGACGGAGAGACGGCCCAGACUCCUACGGGAGGCAGAAGUGGGGAAUAUUGCACAAUGGGCGGAAGCCGGAUGCAGCAACGCCGCGUGCGGGAGGACGGCCUUCGGGUUGUAAACCGCUUUCGCCUGUGACGAAGCGUGAGUGACGGUAAUGGGGAAAGAAGCACCGGCUAACUACGU
Molecule: ribosomal RNA, 467 nt
Filed under: uncultured bacterium
Lineage: Bacteria
Description: partial 16S ribosomal RNA
Rfam family: Bacterial small subunit ribosomal RNA
Source: RNAcentral